RNAcentral lists this ribosomal RNA (465 nucleotides) under uncultured Klebsiella sp. Its description in RNAcentral is "bacterial SSU rRNA". It matches the Rfam family "Bacterial small subunit ribosomal RNA", at positions 338 to 795 of the family's 1533-position model. The record is from RNAcentral. Lineage: Bacteria; Pseudomonadati; Pseudomonadota; Gammaproteobacteria; Enterobacterales; Enterobacteriaceae.
CCUACGGGGGGCUGCAGUGGGGAAUAUUGCACAAUGGGCGCAAGCCUGAUGCAGCCAUGCCGCGUGUGUGAAGAAGGCCUUCGGGUUGUAAAGCACUUUCAGCGGGGAGGAAGGCGGUGAGGUUAAUAACCUCAUCGAUUGACGUUACCCGCAGAAGAAGCACCGGCUAACUCCGUGCCAGCAGCCGCGGUAAUACGGAGGGUGCAAGCGUUAAUCGGAAUUACUGGGCGUAAAGCGCACGCAGGCGGUCUGUCAAGUCGGAUGUGAAAUCCCCGGGCUCAACCUGGGAACUGCAUUCGAGACUGGCAGGCUAGAGUCUUGUAGAGGGGGGUAGAAUUCCAGGUGUAGCGGUGAAAUGCGUAGAGAUCUGGAGGAAUACCGGUGGCGAAGGCGGCCCCCUGGACAAAGACUGACGCUCAGGUGCGAAAGCGUGGGGAGCAAACAGGAUUAGAUACCCGUGUAGUC